UACGUAGGGGGCGAGCGUUGCUCGGAUUUACUGGGCGUAAAGGGCGCGUAGGCGGAUGACCAAGUUGGGGGUGAAAUCCCGGGGCUUAACCUCGGAACUGCCUCCAAAACUGGUCGUCUUGAGUUUGGGAGAGGUGUGUGGAACUCCGAGUGUAGAGGUGAAAUUCGUAGAUAUUCGGAAGAACACCAGUGGCGAAGGCGACACACUGGCCCAAUACUGACGCUGAGGCGCGAAAGCGUGGGGAGCAAACAGG
Molecule: ribosomal RNA, 253 nt
Filed under: uncultured bacterium
Lineage: Bacteria
Description: partial 16S ribosomal RNA
Rfam family: Bacterial small subunit ribosomal RNA
Source: RNAcentral